UACGGGGGGGGUAAGCGUUGUUCGGAAUUACUGGGCGUAAAGGGCUCGUAGGCGGCCAACUAAGUCAUACGUGAAAUCCCUCGGCUCAACUGAGGAACUGCACGGGAUACUGGAAGACUUGAGUUCGGGAGAGGGAAGCGGAAUUCCGGGUGUAGCGGUGAAAUGCGUAGAUAUCUGGAGGAACACCGGUGGCGAAGGCGGCGUCCUGGACCAACACUGACACUGAGGAACGAAAGCCAGGGGAGCAAACGGG
RNAcentral lists this ribosomal RNA (253 nucleotides) under uncultured bacterium. RNAcentral describes it as "partial 16S ribosomal RNA". It matches the Rfam family "Bacterial small subunit ribosomal RNA", at positions 524 to 776 of the family's 1533-position model. The record is from RNAcentral.